UACGUAGGCAGCGAGCGUUGUUCGGAGUUACUGGGCGUAAAGGGUGCGUAGGCGGUUGUUUAAGUUUGGUGUGAAAUCUCCCGGCUCAACUGGGAGGGUGCGCCGAAUACUGAAUGACUAGAGUGCGGGAGAGGAGAGUGGAAUUCCUGGUGUAGCGGUGAAAUGCGUAGAUAUCAGGAGGAACACCGGUGGUGUAGACGGCUCUCUGGACCGUAACUGACGCUGAGGCACGAAAGCGUGGGUAGCAAACGGG
RNAcentral lists this ribosomal RNA (253 nucleotides) under uncultured bacterium. RNAcentral's name for it is "partial 16S ribosomal RNA". It matches the Rfam family "Bacterial small subunit ribosomal RNA", at positions 524 to 776 of the family's 1533-position model. The record is from RNAcentral.